GUAACAGAGUGACGAAACGUGAAAUUAAAACAAACAAAAUUAUUCUUUACACUUAAUACUUAAUACAUUUAUUGCAACCAAUGUUUAAUUUAUUAUCCAUUUUUUUAAUGUGUCCUCUACAAUGAAAAUUUUGGGUACAGGGUGUCUCAAGUAGAAACUAUGACGCCAGCAUUAAUUUUUUAAGUGAUUUCUUAGAAAUUUCUGUACAAGGAAACUAGAGACAAGGAGACUGAUGCUAAACGUGUGUACCCAAAAAAAAGCGAAAACUAGUUUCCGAAAGUUGCCACAUCUGAUCAGCGAGACCCACCUUUUGAUAAUGUUAAUGAUAAUGAUAAUGCGAUUUUCGGCAUUUUCAAGUAUGGGCAUGCCAUUCUUUGAUGUCUGUAUUCUAGGAUAAAAUUCUUGCACUAUUCGCACUGAGGACUCAAAUAAAUUUCCCGCCAAGACUCAGCAUUCAAGACCGCCUUUAAAUCGGAAAACACAAUCAAAGUCAAUCAGCAAUAAAAACUAAAUCUGCAUCUCACGCUUCUGUUGUAUAUAAGGAAACAAAACAUCCCUUAGAAGUAAAAAGGAAAGAGGUUUAAAGAGCGAAAAAUGAACUAGAACAGUAAAAGUCUAUUUAAAUCAGGAAUAAAAGCUUUUUUGCGCCAAAGGUGCGCAAUAUCAACUGAACUAAAAAUUAAGAAGUUCGACAAUGAGA
This 700-nucleotide unclassified non-coding RNA is filed under the name Anthonomus grandis grandis. RNAcentral's name for it is "uncharacterized LOC126733697". The record is from RNAcentral. Lineage: Eukaryota; Metazoa; Arthropoda; Insecta; Coleoptera; Curculionidae.